Molecule: ribosomal RNA, 548 nt
Filed under: uncultured bacterium
Lineage: Bacteria
Description: bacterial SSU rRNA
Rfam family: Bacterial small subunit ribosomal RNA
Source: RNAcentral
UGGGGAAUUUUGCGCAAUGGGGGAAACCCUGACGCAGCAACGCCGCGUGGAGGAUGAAGGCCUUCGGGUUGUAAAGCACUUUUGUCCGGAAAGAAAUCCCUUGCCCUAAUACGGCGGGGGGAUGACGGUACCGGAAGAAUAAGCACCGGCUAACUACGUGCCAGCAGCCGCGGUAAUACGUAGGGUGCGAGCGUUAAUCGGAAUUACUGGGCGUAAAGCGUGCGCAGGCGGUUUUGUAAGACAGGCGUGAAAUCCCCGAGCUCAACUUGGGAAUGGCGCUUGUGACUGCAAGGCUAGAGUAUGUCAGAGGGGGGUAGAAUUCCACGUGUAGCAGUGAAAUGCGUAGAGAUGUGGAGGAAUACCGAUGGCGAAGGCAGCCCCCUGGGACGUCACUGACGCUCAUGCACGAAAGCGUGGGGAGCAAACAGGAUUAGAUACCCUGGUAGUCCACGCCCUAAACGAUGUCAACUAGUUGUUGGGGAUUCAUUUCUUCAGUAACGUAGCUAACGCGUGAAGUUGACCGCCUGGGGAGUACGGUCGCAAGAUUA